GAGAGCCCGACUAGCUGAACUCGCCGCGGCUCACUGCGGCGUCAGCUGGCCCCGUUCUCCCCGCUGUCGCCGAGCCAGAGCGGGCCACGCGCCCCGUUGCACUCCAGAAAGGACGGAGGCGGACGAGGACCUGGAGGAAAUGGCUCGGCUGCGCUCCGCCUUCGCCGUCUGCGAUGCGACGGCGCGGGGAGCCAGCAGCGUGAGGAGUUCAGCCCGCGGUGAGCGGAGCUGCAGGUGUGGAUGGCGGACGCAGAGGCCGUGUUGCAGCGGCUCGGCGCCCGCCCCUGCCAAGAGUUCGUGAGCUGGGGGCAGUGCCUGGGCUGGGGGCCGCAGGAACUAGUGCCCAUCGCGGCCCCGGCGGUGUUGGACCCCGGAGACAGCAAAGACUACGCGGGGGACGAGCACUUGGCGGCGGCGCUGGCCGCCCCUUGGGACCCGGUGAGCCUGGGCGGAGCUUGGCAGGAUAUCCAGGCGCGACUCGGGAACAAGGCCAAGUUCACCUCUAGGAAAAACACAAAGCUGAGGGAGCCCUCAGUGACCUCAGACGUCAGUAUUGAAACAGAGGUGGGAGAUCUCCAGGUGACAAUGAAGAAACUCAAAAAGGGAGUGGAAAAAGAACUGAUGAGGAUGACAGCAAAUCCAUUGCCCAUAUGAGUGGGACCAGUUCCACAAGGUCAACCCAGAUGCAGAACGGUUGCGUGGUUAGAUCCAAAACAUCCCCGGCGUGGCCUUCAUUGUACGUGACUUGUUAGCUUCUUACCUAGAGUGGGGCAUCCUACAGAUGCUGUCGUGUGGAGAGUUACAGCAUGUAGAAUCUAAAUCUUACCCUGGGGUCCUUUUAGAAGGUCAGCUCUUUUUUGCUGUGUUUCAAUGAAAACGUUGUGCCCUCUGGUUAAAUACACCUGUUUUGUCCUGACAAAAGUCUUAGCGGAUAAAUGUUUUUAAAUUGGUUAAAAAAAUAAAAUCACAUGCUCAGAUCAAAGCUAUACAAGACAUUCACUGACAUUAUUAGAUUCAUACGGUUGCCAACUUUGUAGCUAAACUAUAACAUCUACUUCCAAUAUUCAAUACUAGAAAACUAGUCAAAGGGGGUGACCAUCCUUGCUUUGCUGUCAAUUAGCCUUGUGGUCUUGGACAUGUCACCAGCCAGGUUUGAUCCAUUUCCUCGUCUGUAAAACAAGCAGUUUGGCCUUUUGGGCCUGGGGCACUCUCAGCUCUGUAGGUCAUUAAGCAGUGGGAAGAACAGCUUGGUGACCCACGUUAAUGAGGACCCUCGUCACCCGUACUUUUUAAAUAUUGGAGUAUUGGAAGUUUUUGUUAGGGCUCAGUGGUAACAAACCCAACUAGUGUCCACGAGGCUGCGGGUUCGAUCCGUGGCCUCACUUAGUAGGUGAAGGGUCCAGCAUUGCCGUGAGCCAUGGUGUAGGUCGCAGAUGUGGCUCAGAUCUGGCAUUUCUGUGGUUCUGGUGUAGGCUGGCAGCUGCAGCUCUGAGUCAACCCCUAGCCUGGAAACUUCCGUAUGCCAUACCUACGGCUUUAAAAAGAAAAAAAAAUAUUGGAACAUUGAUUUUUCUCACUUCUUAUAUGAGAUCAGAAUUUAAGUGAAGAAAAAAGGUAAUGUUUUAAGCUCCAGUGGAGACAGAAAAAUCUGUUUUUUAAUGUAUUAAGAAAGAAAACAUUUUUUUGCAAUAAAAACAGUUUGUCUAUAAAAGAGGAUAUUUUGUAAUCUCAGAAUACUUACAAAGCCUAUUUUUGAAUUCAGUGUUAAAAGUUCUAAUGAAAAUAUAUAAAAGUAUGCUACUAAAAGCGUAGUCAUAUGCUACUGAAAAUGCAAUGCCCAGGAAAUGGGCAAUGUUACACUUCACCUAAAAAAAAAUACAAAAAUACGCAAGUUGACUACCAGGGGCUGGUGAAAGGGAGAAACUGAGAGUGAUGAUUAGUGAGUAUAUGCUUUCUUUGGGGGAUGAUGAGAAUGUUCUGGAAUUGUACUGUGGGAAUGUUGCACAACUUUGUGAAUAAACUAAAACCCACCAACUUGUAUACUUUGAAUGUUGAAUUUGAUGGUGUGUGAAUUACAGCUCAUUAAAAAAAUAACGCGGGUACUUAGAAUGAGUGAGCAUUUUGCCAAGCGAAAACAUGCAUACCUGAAACCCCUUAUGGUUUUUGCAUAAUUUCCAGUAUAAGGCAAAUCCCCUGACUCCCUGGUUGCCAGCAUUCCCUUUCUUACGUAAUGAACAGCGGAAGAAAUGUUAUGCAUGGUUCUGGAACAUCAUUUCUUUUGAAGAGGAAUUGUGGUUAGGUGAGUGAGAGUCCUUUGUCUGAGGUGAGUAGUGACUCAUCUUCACCAAUGGCCUGAUGGGUCUUACUCUCCCUGAAGCUGUGCUGUCUCACAGGCUUCCCCACUGAACCGUCUGCAAGAGCUGAAGGUGUCAACUGUUGAUCCCUGGGGCGGGGGACAGAAAGGCCUGGGUUUUGGUUUUGGUUUUCAGUGGCCCUGCACCAACUAAAUCAUGCCCAACCAGAGACUUUGUUUUUUGUCCGCAUCCACUGCAUGCGGAAGUUCCAGGGCCAGAAAUCAAACCUGUGCCACAACGACGACCUGAGCCACAGCAGUGGCAGCACUGGAUCCUUAACCUGAUGUGCCACCAAGAAACUCCCCAACCAGAGACUUGAGCUUAGCUUGGUUCAUAGAUAGGGCCAGGCCCCAAGCAGCUUGCCGAAAAAAACUGACUUAAUAGCCUUUAUUUAUUAUACUACAUAAUCUAAAAACAUCCCUUUUAGUUGAACUGAAACGGUGCUAUGUAGCAGUUUUUUCUCCUGUUUGUGAUCUUUACGACGAGACCUUAAAUUCCCCAAGCUUCAUUAUUUUUAAAGGAAUAUUGACCAAGUAUGUUUACACGCACAGGUUAUAAAUAGCCACAGCAUCAGUUAGCUUUUCAAAGCGUGCCUUCCCUCUACUGAUGAGUUCUAGUUUCUUGGGGUUUGUUUGAUUUUUUUUUUUUUUUUUUUUUUUACUGUAAAAUUGGUUCUGUCCUCAACACCUCUACUGUCAAGUCCCAUUUCCCACUUUUUGGACUCAGGAAA
Molecule: long non-coding RNA, 3084 nt
Filed under: Sus scrofa (pig)
Lineage: Eukaryota; Metazoa; Chordata; Mammalia; Artiodactyla; Suidae
Description: lncRNA (ENSSSCG00060062830.1)
Source: RNAcentral